Molecule: long non-coding RNA, 256 nt
Organism: Helianthus annuus (common sunflower)
Lineage: Eukaryota; Viridiplantae; Streptophyta; Magnoliopsida; Asterales; Asteraceae
Exons: 3
Source: RefSeq, a predicted model, not a curated record
AUAGGUGGUUCUCACUAUUGUCGAUUUUGUUCGAGCGAGUUUGACUUCCCACGGGGACUAUCAGCAACAUUCUUGCAGGAGUUUGGUAAUUUCAAGUCUCCAAUGUACUCAAGACUUCCUCAGUAUUGACACCACCGCUGCCAUUGGUGAUCGAUGACGGUAGUUGAGUCGAGUAGAAGAUCAGGUGUGGUUCAAGCAACACUAUCGGAGAGAUGUGGGUAUCAUUCACAGGGAAUUCCUACUCUUUUUUUCGAUG